UACGGGAGGCAGCAGUGGGGAAUAUUGCACAAUGGGCGAAAGCCUGAUGCAGCUAUGCCGCGUGUAUGAAGAAGGCCUUAGGGUUGUAAAGUACUUUCAUCGGGGAGGAAAAAACAAAACUAAUAAUUUUAUUUCUUGACGUUACCCGAAAAAGAAGCACCGGCUAACUCCGUGCCAGCAGCCGCGGUAAUACGGAGGGUGCUAGCGUUAAUCAGAAUUACUGGGCGUAAAGGGCACGCAGGCGGUUAAUUAAGUUGGAUGUGAAAUCCCCGGGCUUAACCUGGGAAUGGCAUUCAAGACUGGUUAGCUAGAGUCUUGUAGAGGGGGUAGAAUUCCAUGUGUAGCGGUGAAAUGCGUAGAGAUGUGGAGGAAUACCGGUGGCGAAGGCGGCCCCUGGACAAAGACUGACGCUCAUGUGCGAAAGCGUGGGGAGCAAACAGGGAUUAGAUACC
Molecule: ribosomal RNA, 452 nt
Filed under: uncultured bacterium
Lineage: Bacteria
Description: bacterial SSU rRNA
Rfam family: Bacterial small subunit ribosomal RNA
Source: RNAcentral